This 468-nucleotide ribosomal RNA is filed under the name uncultured bacterium. RNAcentral's name for it is "partial 16S ribosomal RNA". It matches the Rfam family "Bacterial small subunit ribosomal RNA", at positions 28 to 507 of the family's 1533-position model. The record is from RNAcentral.
GACGAACGCUGGCGGCGUGCUUAACACAUGCAAGUCGAACGGAAAGGCCCUGCUUUUGUGGGGUGCUCGAGUGGCGAACGGGUGAGUAACACGUGAGUAACCUGCCCUUGACUUUGGGAUAACUUCAGGAAACUGGGGCUAAUACCGGAUAGGAGCUCCUGCUGCAUGGUGGGGGUUGGAAAGUUUCGGCGGUUGGGGAUGGACUCGCGGCUUAUCAGCUUGUUGGUGGGGUAGUGGCUUACCAAGGCUUUGACGGGUAGCCGGCCUGAGAGGGUGACCGGCCAGAUGGGGACGAAGACAGGGCCCAGCCUCCAAGGGGAGGCAAGAGGGGGAAGUAUGACGGAGGGGCGGGAGGCUGGGUACGGCCCGCCCGGGGGAGGAAUACGGGCUUUGGGGUUGAAAACCACUGUGGCCGGUAAGAAGGAGGGAGUGACGGUAAUGAAUAAGAAAGCCCCGGCUAACUACGUG